UACGAAGGGGGCUAGCGUUGUUCGGAAUUACUGGGCGUAAAGCGCACGUCGGCGGAUACUUAAGUCAGGGGUGAAAUCCCGGGGCUCAACCCCGGAACUGCCUUUGAUACUGGGUAUCUCGAGUCCGGAAGAGGUGAGUGGAAUUCCGAGUGUAGAGGUGAAAUUCGUAGAUAUUCGGAGGAACACCAGUGGCGAAGGCGGCUCACUGGUCCGGUACUGACGCUGAGGUGCGAAAGCGUGGGGAGCAAACAGG
Molecule: ribosomal RNA, 253 nt
Filed under: uncultured bacterium
Lineage: Bacteria
Description: partial 16S ribosomal RNA
Rfam family: Bacterial small subunit ribosomal RNA
Source: RNAcentral